UGGGGUGGUUCCGUUUCCGUCUUAAGAUGCCUCUGUUCCUCAGUGUGUUUCCAUCCUUUUCCAGAGGAAAAUUGCAAGCAAGUGGCUGAUCAUUAAGGGAGAGCAGAGUGCGAAAUCUAUUGCAAACAAGGAGAUGCAGACCUGCGAGACCAGCAAGACAGGACCAAGAGAAACUGGUAGCAACAGGAUCUGAACAAAUGAAAAAUGCAAGAAGGGAACCCAGUAGCAGCCGAACGUCACCUCUGAUACCUGUGGGAUGGUCUGCCUCUGAAGGUGACGUUGUCCAGG
Molecule: long non-coding RNA, 288 nt
Organism: Bubalus bubalis (water buffalo)
Lineage: Eukaryota; Metazoa; Chordata; Mammalia; Artiodactyla; Bovidae
Exons: 2
Source: RefSeq, a predicted model, not a curated record